ACCAUAAUGUUCAUUUGGCCCUAAAAAUGAAUUUGACACCCCUGGUUUGGAGCAGCAUGUUAAGUGUGUCUAAAAAAGUUAAGUAGGUUUUCUGACGGGUUCUUCUUUGUUGAAAAAUGUUUUGUCUCUCCUCCAUGAGACUUCUCCAGUCUGAGGAGUUACUUUAAAACAGACGAGCUAAAUCAUCAGGCCAGGACACGGCAGUCUACACUCAUCUACAGCACUGAUUGACAAACUAGAGGAGACCACCCAUGGUGAAGUCAAAGAGUCCUCGGACAGUGAAAGGGAUUUUGAAGACAGUGGAAAUGAUGAGUGGGUUGGACAGUGAUUCCAAUGUGAAGGUGACCUUUAACCUGAAGAACUGAUGUGAGAGUGACAGGUUUAGUGCAUGCCAUUGGGCAUAAAUAUGUAUUAAAUUAAUCCAUUAAUUUCUCCAAUUUUACAUCAACCAGUUUUAAAGAAGAACUAAAGUUCAAGCUAAUCAACAAAUARUUCUGUGAAAGCCUUUCASUUUCAAMAAACACUUGUUUCUGAAUGUUCACUAAUGGUCUAAUGUGUUACUUUUAACCCCUGGCUGGUAACRUGGUCUGUUGCACAAAUAAUCAACAAAAGCACAUCUAAGUGAGAGACCAUCAAUAUCUAUCCUUUAACACCAGAUUUAUGACAUUUUAUUCUGACGUGGUGAAUCUACAUGUAAG
Molecule: long non-coding RNA, 698 nt
Organism: Austrofundulus limnaeus
Lineage: Eukaryota; Metazoa; Chordata; Actinopteri; Cyprinodontiformes; Rivulidae
Exons: 2
Source: RefSeq, a predicted model, not a curated record